This 497-nucleotide ribosomal RNA is filed under the name uncultured bacterium. RNAcentral's name for it is "partial 16S ribosomal RNA". It matches the Rfam family "Bacterial small subunit ribosomal RNA", at positions 28 to 507 of the family's 1533-position model. The record is from RNAcentral.
GAUGAACGCUGGCGGCGUGCCUAAUACAUGCAAGUCGAGCGAACAGACGAGGAGCUUGCUCCUCUGACGUUAGCGGCGGACGGGUGAGUAACACGUGGAUAACCUACCUAUAAGACUGGGAUAACUUCGGGAAACCGGAGCUAAUACCGGAUAAUAUAUUGAACCGCAUGGUUCAAUAGUGAAAGACGGUUUUGCUGUCACUUAUAGAUGGAUCCGCGCCGCAUUAGCUAGUUGGUAAGGUAACGGCUUACCAAGGCAACGAUGCGUAGCCGCCCUGAGAGGGUGAUCGGCCACACUGGAACUGAGACACGGUCCAGACUCCUACGGGAGGCAGCAGUAGGGAAUCUUCCGCAAUGGGCGAAAGCUUGACGGAGAAACGCCGCGUGAGUGAUGAAGGUCUUCGGAUCGUAAAACUAUGUUAUUAGGGAAGAACAAAUGUGUAAGUAACUAUGCACGUCUUGACGGUACCUAAUCAGAAAGCCACGGCUAACUACGUG